CAUGAUGGGGUCUCUGUCAUGAGGCCUUAAGUCACGCUAAGUUACUUGGGGCCUUUUCUGACUUCUGGAGCAGAACACUCAGGCGGAUCUGUGACCCCAAGUGACAGCACCCACAGCCGGAGAGAAGCCCUUUGAGACAGGUUUGGAAGGCACAAAAGCUAAUUCUUCUGCCUCCUCCGUGUCUCAAAGCAUAAAAAUCCUCCAAUCUCCCGCCUGGAAGGUCGACGCCUGGCUGUCCACCUUCUGGGGACAGAUGAAGGCAGAGGGCUGGGGCUGUCUCAGCACACAGUCUGUAAACUUAAUCCCACUGUAGUCACCUGUGCUGCUUGUUGACCCUCUGUUGUUCCUUCUUCGGAGAAUAAAACGCCUGUCUCUGCCAGCUUUUGGGGAGAGGCAGCAACCGGACUGCAUGGCGAGUGGGAGGGUGUGGAGUCUGGCU
Molecule: long non-coding RNA, 439 nt
Filed under: Homo sapiens (human)
Lineage: Eukaryota; Metazoa; Chordata; Mammalia; Primates; Hominidae
Description: HSALNT0095563
Source: RNAcentral